Molecule: long non-coding RNA, 2175 nt
Organism: Artibeus jamaicensis (Jamaican fruit-eating bat)
Lineage: Eukaryota; Metazoa; Chordata; Mammalia; Chiroptera; Phyllostomidae
Exons: 3
Source: RefSeq, a predicted model, not a curated record
CAGCCUCGGACAGCUCCUCCCAGAGACUGCUCUCAGAAUAUCAGACCUACGGAGACACACACGCACACGCACAUCACGCCAACACCCACAUAGUACGGCCUGUGGCGGCUGCACUUGUUUGUGUCAGACACUGUGACGCUCACACCCUCGUUUCUUUAAUACCCACAACAGUCCUCUAUUUCUUGAGCAUCUUUUGUGUGCCGGGUAUGUGUCGGGGACGGUCAUAGCCAGCCCGCAAGAUGGCCUCCAGGUCCACACCUGGUGUGUGUGAAGGUGGCAUUGUGCAGGAGCCAAGGUACAUCUCUUCCGAGGUAGGGAAUAAAAGUGGCUUCUGUCCUGGGUGUUCUCUCGCCCUCUUGCUGUCCCUUUCGGAUCACUUGCUCUUCAGGAAGUGAGCUGUCACACCGUAGACAGCCCUCUAGCGAGGUUCACGCGGCACAGAACUGAAGCCUCCAGCCAGCAGCCUGCAGACCUGGGGACCGCCCCCAGCCAGUGAGGGAGCUUGGUGGCAGACCCUCCAAUCAGGCCUUCAGACGACCAGAACCCCGUGAUGAGGAUUCCCAGCUUGCAGUCAUGGUGGGAGGGCCUGGACCCUGCACCUCGGCUUCACGGCUGAAUUCCUGGGAGUGGGUGUCACGUUCUCGGGAGGUGGAAACAGAUGCAGUGGCCGUAUUUUUCCAGCCUCCAGGUGACCUGGGACAAACUCCACUGAAACUGCAGGGGGAGGGAAAUGAUGAAGGAAACACAAUUUGGUUGCAGAAAGACUCCCAUUUCGGAGGUUCUCCAAUAUUUACAGGGGCAACAGGCAGAAUAAUCCAACUCCGGCGCGUCACAGCUGUGAGUUGUUGUUUGCCAUUUCCUCUUUGGAAGCAGCAAACCACACAGAGUAUCUGUGCAUCACAGCAGAAAGUGCCAAAAUAACCUGACAGCCCACCGGGCAAGCACAUCCGCCUCCUUCCUGGUGACAGAUGAGCCGCUCGUGAGUGACUCAUGGCCCGAGGACUCCCUCCUUCUGUGCCCGCCUCCCUCUCGCCCAGAGAUGCCUUGCUGUCCUACAGCACAACCUCGGCGCCCCUGGGUGCUCCCCACCAGCAGGUCCAUAGCCACGGCAGCCGUGUUUUCCAGGUCAGAUGGACAGACAGUGCUGCAAACCUGAAGUUAUGCUUGGAGGACACAGGGACAGAACACUGAAGCCGAGGCUCUCUGGGAAAAUGAAGGGCACAAAGGAGCAAAUAUCCCCCAAGUGAUCUACUCAUCCUGAAGGGGCAGAGGAGUCAUUCAUUUAUCCACUCAUGUGUUCUUUCAAUGAAUUUUCCUUGCACACCUACCACAUGCCAGGACUGGGCAAUGCGCUGGAGAAACAAGGUGCACGGACAGAGCCCCUGCCCUCGGAGUGUUUGUAGUCAGCCAGGGAGACAGACAGGUGCCCAGGCGCUGGCCUGUGCUUCUGGUGAACUCGGUGGGGACAUUCAUCCCAGUCCGAGGGGAGGACCAGGGAGAAUGUGCACGUGUGGUGACGUCAGGGGAAGGCUCCAUGACAAGUGACUUCUAAGCCAAGACCCGCAGGGUGGAUAGGAGUUAGGUGCAGGGGACAGCUGUGGCCAGGCACAGGGAAAGCUUGUGCAAGGAUGGAGAGGAGUUAGGUGCAGGGGACAGCUGUGGCCAGGCACAGGGAAAGCUUGUGCAAGGAUGGAGAGGAGUUAGGUGCAGGGGACAGCUGUGGCCAGGCACAGGGAAAGCUUGUGCAAGGAUGGAGAGGAGUUAGGUGCAGGGGACAGCUGUGGCCAGGCACAGGGAAAGCUUGUGCAAGGGUCCUGAGGUGAGGGAAACAGUAGAAAGGGCAGAGGAGGAGGCUCUUGCGAGCUUCAUCCCUCGGGGCCAUGGGGAGCCACAGAAGAUUUCCAGUGAGAGAAACGCAACCUCGUUUAUAUUUUAGAAACAUCACUUUUGCUGCUGUUACUGACUCUCCCUCCCCCACCCCCAUUUUCGUGGCCUUGUGGCUGAGCACACCUAGCUAAGGCAGGGCCUUCGGGAAGACUGUGGCCUGGGCUGACCUAGUCCCCGGGGUGCCGGGAGAUAAUGACAGGCUCUGUCCUGCGCCCCACCCCACCACAGCAGGCUUCAGGGUCAGGCUGUGAGGGCUGCUAUGUUGGGCUUUCACGGGCGAGGGCUUCG